AAAAAAAAAAAAAAAAAUCUAUUUUAAACUACAUGAUGACAAUUUCCCAAGGCCAUCCUUACCCAACACCACAAUCCUCCCUCCCUCUUAAAAAAAAAAAAGUCCUUUUAUAGAGCGGAUAGCCUACUUCAUGAAAUGGUUGCUUGCAUGCUUUUCAAAUUUCAUUGAAUGUUGUGGUAGAGAUGGCUGGAUUUCUGAUUUCUGUUUGAAUGAUAAAUGGCUUUGAACAAUGAAGGAUGUUCUGCUUUUGGUGGUAGAACAACAAGGCAAAAGUUAUUGAGCUUUUUAUCAUUUGAUUAUUUUCUCGGAGUUGGAACAUGAUUCUAUUUUUGAUCUUGCAGUGAGCACAUAAGGUUAUUGGUUAUUUAUUAGCAUGUCUACUUAUUGAUUUUUUUUUUCAUGUUCAUUGAUUGUUUUUAAUAUAAUAAUGUUGAUAAAUUGAUAGUAGUCUUCCCG
This 456-nucleotide unclassified non-coding RNA is filed under the name Hevea brasiliensis (rubber tree). The record is from RNAcentral. Lineage: Eukaryota; Viridiplantae; Streptophyta; Magnoliopsida; Malpighiales; Euphorbiaceae.